GGAUCAUUUUGAUGAAUUUCGGGCAGAUUUGGUGGGAAAUAGGGGGAAAUCUUGCUGUUCUUGACUUUGGGCAAGCACAGGCCAAACAUGCAGUUCAACAUUUGUUCAUGCCUCG
This 115-nucleotide microRNA precursor is filed under the name Medicago truncatula (barrel medic). RNAcentral describes it as "miR5236a stem-loop (multiple precursors)". Lineage: Eukaryota; Viridiplantae; Streptophyta; Magnoliopsida; Fabales; Fabaceae. The record is from miRBase by way of RNAcentral.